Molecule: ribosomal RNA, 468 nt
Filed under: Triticum aestivum (bread wheat)
Lineage: Eukaryota; Viridiplantae; Streptophyta; Magnoliopsida; Poales; Poaceae
Description: partial small subunit ribosomal RNA
Source: RNAcentral
AUGGCGACGGAGCUGGCCUACGCGCCGCCCAUGAAGUCGGGCAAGCUCGGGUUCGAGGGCACGCAGGAGGUGCAGCACCGCAUCCGCAUCACCCUCUCCUCCAAGUCCGUCAAGAACCUCGAGAAGGGUCUGUGCCCCAUCCGAUCCCUCCUCUUCCUCCCCGUUCGCUCCCGCUUUGUGCGUCUCCGAUCUGACGCGUGUUGUCUUGCAGUGUGCUCGGAUCUGGUGAAGGGCGCCAAGGAGAAGCAGCUCAAGGUCAAGGGCCCCGUCAGGAUGCCCACCAAGGUGCUCAACAUCACCACCAGGAAGUCCCCCUGCGGAGAAGGGACCAACACCUGGGAUCGGUUUGAGAUGCGGGUGCACAAGAGGGUGAUCGACCUUGUCAGCUCCCCAGACGUUGUCAAGCAGAUCACCUCUAUCACCAUCGAGCCUGGCGUCGAGGUCGAAGUGACCAUCAGCGACCAGUAG